Molecule: ribosomal RNA, 440 nt
Filed under: uncultured bacterium
Lineage: Bacteria
Description: partial 16S ribosomal RNA
Rfam family: Bacterial small subunit ribosomal RNA
Source: RNAcentral
CCUACGGGGGGCAGCAGUGGGGGAUAUUGCACAAUGGGGGAAACUCUGAUGCAGCGACGCCGCGUGAGUGAAGAAGUAUCUCGGUAUGUAAAGCUCUAUCAGUAGGGAAGAAAAUGACAGUACCUGACCAUGUAGCCCCGGCUAACUACGGGCCAGCAGCCGUGGGAACACGGGGGCGGCAAGCGUUAUCCGGAUUUUCUGGGCGUAAAGGGAGCGUAGACGGUUGUGUAAGUCUGGAGUGAAAGUCCGGGGCCCAACCCCGAGACUGCUUUGGAAACUGUGUAACUGGAGUACAGGAGGGGCAGGCGGAAUUCGUGGUGUAGCGGUGAAAUGCGUAGAUAUCAGGAAGAACACCGACGGCGAAGGCAGCCUACUAGACUGAGACUGACGUUGAGGCUCGAAAGCGUGGGGAGCAAACAGGAUUAGAUACCCGAGUAGUC